UCUCCGUAGGUGAACCUGCGGAGGGAUCAUUACUGAGUGAGGGCUUCGGUCCGACCUCCAACCCUUUGUGAACCAAACUUGUUGCUUCGGGGGCGACCCUGCCGUUCGGCGCGGCGCCCCCGGAGGUCAUCAAAACCCUGCAUCUCUGCGUCGGAGUUAUAAGUUAAUCAAACAAAACUUUCAACAACGGAUCUCUUGGUUCUGGCAUCGAUGAAGAACGCAGC
Molecule: unclassified non-coding RNA, 224 nt
Filed under: uncultured fungus
Lineage: Eukaryota; Fungi
Description: sequence contains ITS1, 5.8S rRNA gene
Rfam family: 5.8S ribosomal RNA (bases 176-224)
Source: RNAcentral